CCUUUGGAGCAGAAGCGGUAGUGCCAACAGAACUGCUAGCUCCCACAACCCGCACUGAUGUUGUCCUUACCGGAGAGAACGAAGGGAUUCUGGCAAGGGAAAAAACUGUUCUUGACGACAAGAGAGAGCAUGCCCUACAGCACCUCCUCCGGUACCAGGAAACCAUCAAAAGAGGAUAUGACAAGCGAGUCGUAAAGAGGAAAUUCAAUCCGGGCGACUGGAUCAUGAGAAAAGUCAAAGUUAUGACUAGGGGUGAGCACGGUUCAAAACCGGACAGAUUUAGGUGAAACCGAAACCGAACUGUGGAGCACAGUUUCAAAGUUUUGGAACCGAAACCGAACCGAUCAACCUUAGGAACCGGUCAGAAACCGAACCGAUUAUUACAGUUCGGUUCGGUUUGUUUUUACGGUUUGGGCUUUUUAAAUUUUGGGCCUGCAACCUUAAUAUAGUGUGGGCUUUCAGAAUUUAUUUAACAUUAAAUCCAAGAAUCCACUUGGCUAAUCAUAUUAACAUAUCUUAACCAUUACAAAAUCCAUAUCAAUAUCUCAGAUUGGGCCAAAUAUAGUCAUCAUCUAUCACAAAUCCAUGAUACAUCCUGUUUUAUCAUUACAUUACUUACACAUUACAAUAUAUCCAUAGUCAUUAAAAUAGUCCCUCUGAAAAAAAAAACCAAAAUAAAACUACAAAUCCAUAUGCUGACAUGCAUGACACUCUCCAACUCCAAAAUCUUUUAGCAUAUCCAAACCUGCAAAAAUGCAAAAUACAAAAAAUAAUACUAGUGGUCAUACAACUUCAUGUACAGUAGGUUAUAGGUUUGUAUAUAUAAAGAUGAUCAAUGAUUAAAUUUCAAUAACAAAAUGUAUGCAAUAUAAAUCAUAAGACUAAAUACACAGUAGCCUAUUAGAGCGUGUUUUGCAAGCAAAAAGGGUGGUACCCUACUUGGUUAAGUUCAUAAUGGCAAGGGUGCUCUGUAACACUUUCGACAAAACACAUAGCUCAUGUUUAACUUUUCAUGUCAGUUUGUAUAGGAGUCUGCAACUUGAGCCAACAGGUUGUAAUGUUGUAUAGCAUAUUCUGCAUAUUUUCUAAAUGUUUUCUUAUUUAGAAAAUGAGCCAAACAGAAUAUCAAGACAAAUAAAUAUACUGAAAAUGAGCCAAACAGUAUAAAUUAAUCAACAGUGAUAUAACAGACUAUCAUUAGAUGUCCAACUAGUCACAGAUCACACUAAGAAGGUAAUAUAUUGUACUGACCCAAUGGAAGCCUACACAUCUCAAUCAUGCAUGUGUUGUAGUUGGUGUUGUUGCUGCUAUUGCAGUUGCUGAAGUUGUUGGCGCGAACGUUUCUAAAUGAAAAAAUCUGAUUUAGCCAUAGUUACGAUUGUAAUUGUACGCAACAUAAAUAUAUACUACAUUUAAUAGUUACCUGCAUCAAUUGCAUCGAAUUGCUCUAUUUCCUCCAUUGAAGCUUGAAGAUCUAUCUUUGGCCUUGCUCGAAGCCAAUUUUGAGCGCAAAUGAGAGCCUCCACUGU
RNAcentral lists this long non-coding RNA (1529 nucleotides) under Aquilegia coerulea. Its description in RNAcentral is "long non-coding RNA (ACOE_LNC000494)". Lineage: Eukaryota; Viridiplantae; Streptophyta; Magnoliopsida; Ranunculales; Ranunculaceae. The record is from RNAcentral.